UACGUAGGGUGCAAGCGUUGUCCGGAAUUAUUGGGCGUAAAGAGCUCGUAGGUGGUUUGUCGCGUCUGCUGUGAAAACUCGGGGCUUAACCCCGGGCCUGCAGUGGGUACGGGCAGACUAGAGUGUGGUAGGGGAGACUGGAAUUCCUGGUGUAGCGGUGAAAUGCGCAGAUAUCAGGAGGAACACCGAUGGCGAAGGCAGGUCUCUGGGCCAUAACUGACACUGAGGAGCGAAAGCGUGGGGAGCGAACAGG
RNAcentral lists this ribosomal RNA (253 nucleotides) under uncultured bacterium. Its description in RNAcentral is "partial 16S ribosomal RNA". It matches the Rfam family "Bacterial small subunit ribosomal RNA", at positions 524 to 776 of the family's 1533-position model. The record is from RNAcentral.